GGCAGGCUUAACACAUGCAAGUCGAGCGGAAACGAUGGGAGCUUGCUCCCAGGCGUCGAGCGGCGGACGGGUGAGUAACACUUAGGAAUCUACCUAGUAGUGGGGGAUAGCUCGGGGAAACUCGAAUUAAUACCGCAUACGACCUACGGGAGAAAGGGGGCAGUUUACUGCUCUCGCUAUUAGAUGAGCCUAAGUCGGAUUAGCUAGAUGGUGGGGUAAAGGCCUACCAUGGCGACGAUCUGUAGCUGGUCUGAGAGGAUGAUCAGCCACACCGGGACUGAGACACGGCCCGGACUCCUACGGGAGGCAGCAGUGGGGAAUAUUGGACAAUGGGGGGAACCCUGAUCCAGCCAUGCCGCGUGUGUGAAGAAGGCCUUUUGGUUGUAAAGCACUUUAAGCAGUGAAGAAGACCUAACGGUUAAUACCCGUUAGCGAUGACAUUAGCUGCAGAAUAAGCACCGGCUAACUCUGUGCCAGCAGCCGCGGUAAUACAGAGGGUGCAAGCGUUAAUCGGAAUUACUGGGCGUAAAGCGAGCGUAGGUGGCUUGAUAAGUCAGAUGUGAAAUCCCCGGGCUUAACCUGGGAACUGCAUCUGAUACUGUUAAGCUAGAGUAGGUGAGAGGGAAGUAGAAUUCCAGGUGUAGCGGUGAAAUGCGUAGAGAUCUGGAGGAAUACCGAUGGCGAAGGCAGCUUCCUGGCAUCAUACUGACACUGAGGCUCGAAAGCGUGGGUAGCAAACAGGAUUAGAUACCCUGGUAGUCCACGCCGUAAACGAUGUCUACUAGUCGUUGGGUCCCUUGAGGACUUAGUGACGCAGCUAACGCAAUAAGUAGACCGCCUGGGGAGUACGGCCGCAAGGUUAAAACUCAAAUGAAUUGACGGGGGCCCGCACAAGCGGUGGAGCAUGUGGUUUAAUUCGAUGCAACGCGAAGAACCUUACCUGGUCUUGACAUACACAGAAUCUUGUAGAGAU
This 973-nucleotide ribosomal RNA is filed under the name Psychrobacter celer. RNAcentral describes it as "bacterial SSU rRNA". It matches the Rfam family "Bacterial small subunit ribosomal RNA", at positions 41 to 1007 of the family's 1533-position model. The record is from RNAcentral. Lineage: Bacteria; Pseudomonadati; Pseudomonadota; Gammaproteobacteria; Moraxellales; Moraxellaceae.